RNAcentral lists this ribosomal RNA (2907 nucleotides) under Citrobacter koseri. RNAcentral's name for it is "bacterial LSU rRNA". It matches the Rfam family "Bacterial large subunit ribosomal RNA". Lineage: Bacteria; Pseudomonadati; Pseudomonadota; Gammaproteobacteria; Enterobacterales; Enterobacteriaceae. The record is from RNAcentral.
UUAAGCGACCAAGCGUACACGGUGGAUGCCCUGGCAGUCAGAGGCGAUGAAGGACGUGCUAAUCUGCGAAAAGCGCCGGCGAGGUGAUAUGAACCCUUGACCCGGCGAUGUCCGAAUGGGGAAACCCAGUGUGAUUCGUCACACUAUCGUUAGCUGAAUACAUAGGCUAACGAGGCGAACCGGGGGAACUGAAACAUCUAAGUACCCCGAGGAAAAGAAAUCAACCGAGAUUCCCCCAGUAGCGGCGAGCGAACGGGGAGGAGCCCAGAGCCUGAAUCAGCUUGUGUGUUAGUGGAAGCGUCUGGAAAGUCGCACGGUACAGGGUGAAAGUCCCGUACACGAAAACGCACAGGCUGUGAGCUCGAUGAGUAGGGCGGGACACGUGGUAUCCUGUCUGAAUAUGGGGGGACCAUCCUCCAAGGCUAAAUACUCCUGACUGACCGAUAGUGAACCAGUACCGUGAGGGAAAGGCGAAAAGAACCCCGGCGAGGGGAGUGAAAAAGAACCUGAAACCGUGUACGUACAAGCAGUGGGAGCCUCUUUUAUGGGGUGACUGCGUACCUUUUGUAUAAUGGGUCAGCGACUUAUAUUCUGUAGCAAGGUUAACCGUAUAGGGGAGCCGAAGGGAAACCGAGUCUUAACUGGGCGUUAAGUUGCAGGGUAUAGACCCGAAACCCGGUGAUCUAGCCAUGGGCAGGUUGAAGGUUGGGUAACACUAACUGGAGGACCGAACCGACUAAUGUUGAAAAAUUAGCGGAUGACCUGUGGCUGGGGGUGAAAGGCCAAUCAAACCGGGAGAUAGCUGGUUCUCCCCGAAAGCUAUUUAGGUAGCGCCUCGUGAAUUCAUCUCCGGGGGUAGAGCACUGUUUCGGCUAGGGGGCCAUCCCGGCUUACCAACCCGAUGCAAACUGCGAAUACCGGAGAAUGUUAUCACGGGAGACACACGGCGGGUGCUAACGUCCGUCGUGAAGAGGGAAACAACCCAGACCGCCAGCUAAGGUCCCAAAGUCAUGGUUAAGUGGGAAACGAUGUGGGAAGGCCCAGACAGCCAGGAUGUUGGCUUAGAAGCAGCCAUCAUUUAAAGAAAGCGUAAUAGCUCACUGGUCGAGUCGGCCUGCGCGGAAGAUGUAACGGGGCUAAACCAUGCACCGAAGCUGCGGCAGCGACGCUUAUGCGUUGUUGGGUAGGGGAGCGUUCUGUAAGCCGUUGAAGGUGUGCUGUGAGGCAUGCUGGAGGUAUCAGAAGUGCGAAUGCUGACAUAAGUAACGAUAAAGCGGGUGAAAAGCCCGCUCGCCGGAAGACCAAGGGUUCCUGUCCAACGUUAAUCGGGGCAGGGUGAGUCGACCCCUAAGGCGAGGCCGAAAGGCGUAGUCGAUGGGAAACAGGUUAAUAUUCCUGUACUUGGUGUUACUGCGAAGGGGGGACGGAGAAGGCUAUGUCGGCCGGGCGACGGUUGUCCCGGUUUAAGCAUGUAGGCGGAGGUUCCAGGUAAAUCCGGUACCUUAUUAAACGCUGAGGUGUGAUGACGAGGCACUACGGUGCUGAAGUGACAAAUGCCCUGCUUCCAGGAAAAGCCUCUAAGCAUCAGGUAACACGAAAUCGUACCCCAAACCGACACAGGUGGUCAGGUAGAGAAUACCAAGGCGCUUGAGAGAACUCGGGUGAAGGAACUAGGCAAAAUGGUGCCGUAACUUCGGGAGAAGGCACGCUGAUAUGUAGGUGAAGUGAUUUACUCAUGGAGCUGAAAUCAGUCGAAGAUACCAGCUGGCUGCAACUGUUUAUUAAAAACACAGCACUGUGCAAACACGAAAGUGGACGUAUACGGUGUGACGCCUGCCCGGUGCCGGAAGGUUAAUUGAUGGGGUUAUCCCUCGGGAGAAGCUCUUGAUCGAAGCCCCGGUAAACGGCGGCCGUAACUAUAACGGUCCUAAGGUAGCGAAAUUCCUUGUCGGGUAAGUUCCGACCUGCACGAAUGGCGUAAUGAUGGCCAGGCUGUCUCCACCCGAGACUCAGUGAAAUUGAACUCGCUGUGAAGAUGCAGUGUACCCGCGGCAAGACGGAAAGACCCCGUGAACCUUUACUAUAGCUUGACACUGAACACUGGUCCUUGAUGUGUAGGAUAGGUGGGAGGCUUUGAAGUGCGGACGCCAGUCUGCAUGGAGCCGCCCUUGAAAUACCACCCUUUAAUGGCUGGUGUUCUAACGUGGGCCCGUAAUCCGGGUUGCGGACAGUGUCUGGUGGGUAGUUUGACUGGGGCGGUCUCCUCCUAAAGAGUAACGGAGGAGCACGAAGGUCAGCUAAUCCUGGUCGGACAUCAGGAGGUUAGUGCAAUGGCAUAAGCUGGCUUGACUGCGAGCGUGACGGCGCGAGCAGGUGCGAAAGCAGGUCAUAGUGAUCCGGUGGUUCUGAAUGGAAGGGCCAUCGCUCAACGGAUAAAAGGUACUCCGGGGAUAACAGGCUGAUACCGCCCAAGAGUUCAUAUCGACGGCGGUGUUUGGCACCUCGAUGUCGGCUCAUCACAUCCUGGGGCUGAAGUAGGUCCCAAGGGUAUGGCUGUUCGCCAUUUAAAGUGGUACGCGAGCUGGGUUUAGAACGUCGUGAGACAGUUCGGUCCCUAUCUGCCGUGGGCGCUGGAGAACUGAGGGGGGCUGCUCCUAGUACGAGAGGACCGGAGUGGACGCAUCACUGGUGUUCGGGUUGUCAUGCCAAUGGCACUGCCCGGUAGCUAAAUGCGGAAGAGAUAAGUGCUGAAAGCAUCUAAGCACGAAACUUGCCCCGAGAUGAGUUCUCCCUGACUCCUUGAGAGUCCUGAAGGAACGUUGAAGACGACGACGUUGAUAGGCCGGGUGUGUAAGCGCAGCGAUGCGUUGAGCUAACCGGUACUAAUGAACCGUGAGGCUUAACCUU